Molecule: long non-coding RNA, 796 nt
Organism: Chenopodium quinoa (quinoa)
Lineage: Eukaryota; Viridiplantae; Streptophyta; Magnoliopsida; Caryophyllales; Amaranthaceae
Exons: 4
Source: RefSeq, a predicted model, not a curated record
AUAUGUUGUUUUGUAAUCUGUAGGAAAGGAGCGAGAAGAAUUGGGCAAAUGCUCUUGUAAUCGGGCAUUACAGCUAGACUAAUUUAUGAAUUGGAACUUGAGGCGCAAGCUUGUGAAAAUGAGAAUGAGGUCACCGAAAUUAAUGGUUCUAGUUCAAACGUCACCUCAUCCCAAGUUAAAGAUGAUCCCAUGUAUUUAAAGUUAUGGGAGAAGUCAAAGAGGCAUAAAAAUGGGAAGUUUGACGAUGAGGCCGAGGAGAAGUUCAAGGAAUUAAAGGAGUUGCAUGAGAAGAAAAUUGGUGAAAAGGGGGUUGAUAAUCUUACUCUUGAAGAAGCUUAUGUGAAGGUUCUUGGACAUCGUUCAGGUUAUGCCCGAGGUUUAGGCAAAGGGCACCCGGUGUCAUCUAAAGAUGGAAAGAUAGGAAGAGCUGAGCUGGAAACUACAAAAUGAAAAUAAUAUUAUGCGAGCUGAAUUGGAAGCGUCUAAGAAGAAACAAGAAGACCUAGAACAAAAGCUUCGGUUAAUCAUGGAGAAGAUUGGCCUUGAUGCUUGAUAAAGCUUGUUUCUGUCAUGUUUGCAGUUAGGGGAUCAAGUCAGUGUCCUGAUGUUUUGGGGAUGGAGGACACCAAAGGCUGGUUGCAUUUCUUGGAUGGAAAAAGGGGAUGCUUGAAGAUGCAAGGAUGAAAAGAUGUCCUAGAAUUAUUAAAUAAUUGCUUUUUGGAAAACUUGGUUAAUACUUUUGUAUAUAUAAUGACAAAAUUAGAAUAUAUAAUGACAAAAUUAGAAUUUAUAUUAA